CAGAGCCUCUCAGGAGAUGUCCGUGUAUGCUGACUUCUCUCAGAGAAUCAGAGAGGAACAGUUAGAGAUCUGCAUAGCUCAGUCGGAAGGAGAGGAAGGUUGAAUCUCCACACACCGUCUGGCCCAUAUCCUCAGGGAGGUUGUGGAUGCUCCUGCCCUGAUAGACUGACCUUGGAUACACUGGCCUCUGGGCCACCAUGAAACAGCAGCAAGUGCCACCUCUGAGCCCUAAGUGUCUACCGAAGUCCUGAUGAGUCACUGUGGCUGCUUGCCCACUACCCCUGACGUUCAUUGCUGAGUCCUCAGCACCUCAGUGCAAUGUAUCCUUGUUCCUCAGUCUCUGUCUGAGGGGGAAGGGCUGUUGCUUGGCCUUUGUAAGGGAAGAGCUUGCACCUCUCACUACUGCACACUGUUUGGUUAAAUGAGGAAGUGGGGGUGGGGAAGGCCACUGGUUGUCUCUGUCAUUCCUAUCUCAACACCCCAGCACAUUUCCCUGUCUGUAACUCCCCAACCCCACCACCCACCCAUCGAUCAUUUUACCUGCAAAGCCACAUCUUGUCCCUGCUCAGAUUGUAAUGGAUCCACCCUCCAACAACACUGCCUCUCUUUAAAACGAGAGCGUCAUCAAAGCUUCAGGAAUGGGCACUUUCUCGAUUGCCAAAGUGCUUACUUCUACAAGCAGGAGAGCCAGAAAUUAUUCCCCAAUGCCCACAUAAAGAGCUGGUCAACUGAUCGGGAAAGAUGGGUCAAGGGUUAAGAGCAUUUAUUUCUCUUCCUUCCUCAGGACCCAGGUUUUGUUCCCAGCACCCAUAUGGCAGCUCACAACCAUCUGUAACUCCAGCUCCAGCACUUUCUCUGACCUCCAUGGGCACCAGGCACACAAACAAAGAUACAGGCAAACACAUAUACAAAUAAAGUAAAUCUGAGAACAAAAGCUGAGCAUCAUGGUACACCCAACACGGGGGAAGCAGAAGCCAGUUGGAGCUUGCUGGUCAGCAGCCUAACCUACCUCGAUACGUUGAAAGCUGAGCAUGGUGACACAGACCAACUACUCCAACUCUGAUGCUCCAACAGGAUUAUCAUGAGGACGUGUACCUAGUGUGCAACUGCCUGGGUUCAAUACCUACCAGCAAAAGUCAAGCAAAACCAGACCCGCAUGGUGUAUGGAGUAAGAGUGAGUAUUCCCCACUUUGGACCAAGCACCUUUGCAUAUGCGUAUGGAAAAGGGUCCCAUUGUACUCCCCAAGCUGCUUUGAACAUAUUUUAUAGCCCAGAGUGGCCUCAAAUUCACCAUCCUCCUGCCUCAGCCUCCACAGUACUGGGAUUCGGGUAUACUCUACCACUCCUGGUCAACAACUCAGACUGUUGACAUGUG
Molecule: long non-coding RNA, 1375 nt
Organism: Rattus norvegicus (Norway rat)
Lineage: Eukaryota; Metazoa; Chordata; Mammalia; Rodentia; Muridae
Source: Ensembl